CGCCAACACAAACCCUAACCUGCGAUUACACAUCUAUCCUCCAUCUUCUCUCUUCUAUCGACACCACCAGGAGACCCUAGAAGACGCCUCCAAGUCCUCAGUUCAGGCUAGUGAUCCCCGUCAUCUUUAAUACUCGGACGUGAUUGACCAACCCCGGCCAUUAGCUAUUUUUAAGAGUCCAACCGAGCAACCAAAGGUGAGUUCACACUUUCUACAAGGCAUGGGAUUCCCAGGGGCUGGGAAUGGGUAAAGGAUUUAAACUGGAACUGCGUGAUCUCUUGGUUUGGGACACGUACACACCCUCUUUAUUGAAGGGUGACAACACGUGAUAAGGAUAUAAUCGGAACCUGCGUAAUCUCCUGGUUUGGGGAUUACGUACACACCCUCUUUACUGAAGGGUGACAACAAGGAUACUAGGCCAAAACUCUCUAUCAUGAAGUCCCUCCGUGUUGUUUGGUUACCUGGGAGGUAACAUGGUAUUAGUUAGUAGCGCUAUUUAGGUUUGACAAGCCUCACACCGUGCCGCAGAGGACGGGCGUGAACUAAUGGAUCUGGGCACUAGUCAAUGAUGAUAGACAUUAACGUCAGGGCACCAACUUACUUUAGUCAGUGGUCGAUAUGGUAAACAGGUCUAGUGGUUAACAUGGGGAAGCCCUCACCAACUAUGGAUAUGUUUGGGAAACAGGGUCGUUAGGUAUUUCAGGAGCUUGCACGAGGAGGCGUGGACGUUGUGGGACAUGGACUGUUGAGUUCCAUGUUAAACUUAUGAACUUUUAACUUAUGUUUUAGGUUUUAAACUUUAUGCUUCCGCUGAUAACUUUAACUUGGUUGAAUUGUUUUGACAUCAAUUAUAUUGAUUGGAUUGGACUU
This 870-nucleotide long non-coding RNA is filed under the name Helianthus annuus (common sunflower). RNAcentral describes it as "hypothetical non coding rna". The record is from RNAcentral. Lineage: Eukaryota; Viridiplantae; Streptophyta; Magnoliopsida; Asterales; Asteraceae.